UUACGGGAGGCAGCAGUGAGGAAUAUUGGACAAUGGGCGGAAGCCUGAUCCAGCCAUGCCGCGUGCAGGAAGACGGCCCUAUGGGUUGUAAACUGCUUUUAUACGGGAAGAAUAAUCGCCACGAGUGGUGAGAUGACGGUACCGUAAGAAUAAGGACCGGCUAACUCCGUGCCAGCAGCCGCGGUAAUACGGAGGGUCCGAGCGUUAUCCGGAAUCAUUGGGUUUAAAGGGUCCGCAGGCGGGCGAUUAAGUCAGGGGUGAAAUGGUGCGGCUCAACCGUAGCACUGCCCUUGAUACUGGUUGUCUUGAGUUGUGGUGAAGUGGCCGGAAUAUGUAGUGUAGCGGUGAAAUGCAUAGAUAUUACAUAGAACACCGAUCGCGAAGGCAGGUCACUAACCACCAACUGACGCUGAUGGACGAAAGCGUGGGGAGCGAACGGGAUUAGAUACCCCGGUAGUCCACGCUGUAAACGAUGGAUACUAGCUGUCGGGGCGCAAGCCUCGGUGGCCAAGCGAAAGUGAUAAGUAUCCCACCUGGGAAGUACGUUCGCAAGAAUGAAACUCAAAUGAAUUGACGG
Molecule: ribosomal RNA, 577 nt
Filed under: uncultured bacterium
Lineage: Bacteria
Description: bacterial SSU rRNA
Rfam family: Bacterial small subunit ribosomal RNA
Source: RNAcentral